AACCCUCCCACCUCCACCUUCAGCUAUCAUACAGCACUAAAUACUGUACAGAGCCAGCUUAAAAAGCAUAAGGUCAAGUGCAGGCCAGAUGUCAGAUGUUUGUGGUUAGUCAUAUGUCAGAAGUGAAAGCACACAGAUGAAGAGAUUUUUAUUUUAUUUUUUCAUGCAGAUCUAAAAGCAAAAAUUUACAUCACAGACCCGACCAUAUGCACAAUCAAUAUGACCAAGUAAGCAUUAGAAGAGUAGAAAAAAACAUAAUUUUAAAAUUUUCUUUAGUAAUUGUGAGCAAAUUAAAACCUGCUGUCAUGUUGAUUGAUUGUUGUGGGUGAUUGUCAAGGACAUUGCAAUAUGGUUGCAAUGGUUGAUUAUUCACCCAAGUCAAAAGAAGUCAUCCGCAAGUCUCUGUUAUACACUCACAUAGCACUUUAUUAGGAACUCUAUGGUUCUAAUGAAGCGCCUGACGUAGCCGUCUGCUGUUGUAGCCCAUCUGCCUCAAGGUUUGAUGUGUUUUGCAUUCUGAGAUACUAUUCUGCUCACUACAACUGUACAUUGUAAAGUGGUUACAGUGCAUUCAGAAAGUAUUCAGACCCCUUAAUUUUUUUUCACAUUUUGUUAUGUUGCAGCCUUAUGCUAAAAUGCUUAAAAAAAAUAAAAAAAUAAAAAUCACAUCAAUCUACACUCCAUACCCCAUAAUGACAAAGCAAAAAACUGAUUUUUGAUAACUUUGCAAAUUUAUUAAAAAGAAAAAACUGAAAUAAUGAAAAAAAUGAAGGGGUCUGAAUACUUUCUGAAUACUUUCUAAAUGCACUGUAUCUGAUUUACCGUAGUGUUUCUGUUAGAUCAAACCAGUCUGGCCAUUCUCUGUUAACCUCUCUCAUCAACAAGGCAUUUACAUCCACAGAACUGCUGCUCACUGGAUGUUUUUUUGUUUUUGGCACCAUUCUGAGUAAACUCUAAAGACUGUUGUGUGUGAAAAUCCCAGGAGAUCAGCAGUUACAGAAAUACUCAAACCAGAGCAUCUGGCAUCAACAAUCUUUUUUUUUUUUAAAUUCCCCAUUCUGAUGGUUGAUGUGAACAUUAACUGAAGCUCCUGACCUGUAUCUGUAUGGUUUUAUGCAGUGAACUGCUGACACACUAUUUGCUGAUUGGAUAAUCACAUGAAUAAAUAGGUGUAGAGAUGUUCCUAAUAAAGUGCUCAGUGAGUGUACGUCUCUGGUAUGAUAUUUUGUUCGCUGGAUAUGGCUCAGAUCCCUCUUUCAAUACAAGUCUAUGGGAUUUUUUCCACCCAUUUUAUCAUCUGUUAGGCAAAAAACAAACAAACAAACAAACAAAAAACUGUAAGUCUGGUUGCUCAGAAUAGUAAUAGCACACCUCUCCUCAACAAGCUGCAUUAUUUGAGGUAUCAUCCAUGUCCAUAGCACAAAUUUUGUGGGAAGACUUUGUGUUUUUUUCACAAUCCCUAACCCUAAAGUAUGAAAAAUAGAAAUAGGGAUGCAUUAGCACCACUAUUAAAACACUUAUCUUCAUCCCGUUUAUGAGAGUUAAAGAGAAAUGCUUUUUGACCAUGGUGAUUUUGCUUAUCCACUUUUCUCUGAUUAAAACAACAAUUUGUCCAGAUAAAUCAACAAUCGUAUCCUCCAUGAGCAAAUGACCUCUGAUCUAACAGCAUUGUCUUAAAGAAUUGACUGUCAUUGUCUGCAACCCAUUUCCUGGAUGCCUUUCCUGACAUAAAACAAGUGAACACUGUCUAUCUCAAUGAGUCUCUCUAAAAAAGUAUACCUCUGAUUAAGAUAAUAAUAAAGAGUAACCAAACAACAUAACAAAAGCAGAAUAAGGACAUCUUUUAAGUCGCAUAUAAAAGCAUUCAACCAAAGAAUGCCUUAAGUAACCCAUAUUUACAAAUCAAAUGCACAAACAUUACAAUCUAAUGGUUCGUCAGAAGGACAACACAGGUUCUGUGUUGCUUGGAUGCAAACAUUUUUAAUGAAUUUAUGAUGGAAAUGACUGAGAUGGAAAGAUGGUAGAUAAAUAUAACUUGCAAGGAAUAGAAAGAAAGACAUAAGAAUGAAAGCUAGAAAGUAUGAAAGAAAUAGAAACAAACACAAUUAGUAGCUUGAAUAUUAAACAGCAGAUUUGGAUGAAAUCAUUGGAUGAAAGUCCUUUUUUUUUUUUUGUUUUUUUUUUCAUACUAGACCUAAAACCACCUUCUCCAUGUAAAUGCACUUUUGUAAACCCUGGCCAAGCAGACAGUCAUAUAUUUGAGAGAAUCAAAGAGGGUGAAUGUUUAUGGAUUUUACACACUGCUUGAUGGAAUAAAUCAGAGUUUCACUAUUAGAAAUCUCGCUUCCCAAUGGAAACCUUUCACAUACAGUGCAGACAAGCUAGAAAAAAAAUGCUGAAAUUAGGCUAUAUGGAAUGGUCACUUAAAUGACGUUGUUUUUUACAAACAUAAAAACCGUUGGAACCGUUUAGACUAAACCUGUUCUUAUGCUAAAAACCUAGAUGAGGUGCAACAAGUUGAACAGAGCAGGUAUCUUGAGAUGUGUUUUUAAAUGUCAAAGUUUCUGACUUGACGCAGCGCUUCUGUGCAAGACGCAGUGCAACUGUCAAAGAAGACAUCAGUCUAGCGUAAAUUUACAUAGAAAAAUCAUCAGUUUUUAAACAAAAAUAAUUGAUUUUAGACCGGAAACGAAACAGACAGUGACAGAUAGACAAUUAAAAGUAAAUUUAAUGGCUACACAGUUGUUUAAAGUGUUUUGGGAUUAUUCAGCUGACAAAACUUUGAAAAAAUAUCUUUCAAAGAAAUUACAGUAGACAAAAAUCUCCAAAUAAUAAAAAAUUUGAUGUGAUCUAUCUAGGAGCUUUUUGGUAGCUUUAUACAGUGCAUGCUAUUGGAGUGUAUAUCCCUCACAGCCUCUUUUUCAUUAAAAAAUCGAAGAUGGUGCUACUGUGAAUAAGGUCUAUGGCAUCCUUCUCCACCACUGACUCUUGACCUCCACCAUCUAUCAGUUUCUCUCCACUAUAACUCCCGUCUCUGCCAGAUGAACCCAGCUGAAUAAAUUCUCAUUGGCUUUUACGGUUUGUAUACACAAUGAUGCCUGUGUGAGGAGUCAGGCAGUGAGGUUUCACUGAGGCAUGAAGAAAGGAAAAAAUUUAUUUUAAAAAAUGAAUGAAAGUGGAAAAAUUAUUUUGGCUGCUGGGGCUCAGUUGGUCUGUCUGGAAUUCUCCUUUUCUCUCUCCACUUUCUGUCUUUCCCAACCAAGCCAUAUCUUUACACCAACUCUUGCUCAUUUGAUCCCUUUCUGUUAUCAUAUCUCAGUUGUUUGAUUGUUUUAAGAAUGAAAGCUUGUUUGUAUCCAAUUUAAUGUUUCUGAAGCAGUGGUGAAGGCCAACUUAUUUGCAGUGGAAGUGGAUUCAUUCCAGAAGCACUAUAAGAAAGUCAGCAUUUCAAGAGUGUCAAGCUAUAUGGCAGCAUAUCUGGAACAGAGGUGCAGAGAGACCAUAGAUGUUUAUUUAUCACUUCAGUCUGGUACUCACUAAAGCGUUGGACCUCUCUGAUGCAGAAUGUCUAGAUAGGCUGCCAGACACAGCAGGGAGAGCAUCAAUUCUCAAUAACAUCGCUAAUGACUGCACACUGCCUGACGCAUGCUACCAUUACUGGAGAGCUGCUUCUUUCGGCAUCUGUCGAUUUGGGCCACUGUGGAGGGGUGGGGAAGGAGGGUGGCGUCCGGUGCAGCCGAUUCCAAGUAUCGUGAUGGGGACUACUAAGACCAGGGAGCCCUGGACCCUCUUUGGGUCCAAACACACUGUUAGCCCCUAAAAUAAGAAGAAACAAACCAUCCAUUAAACAGAGCUAAGCUGUGCUGCUCUGAGUCGAGCGAGAGGCCGGGGGCCGGGGCUUACCAAGGGUUGGGUUGCCUAAUCCACCGAAGGCACUGCUUGAAAGGUUGCUGAGGCCGCCAAAGGUACUGGAGCGACUGAAAGGAUCUGCAAAAUGCCAAACAGGGAUUAGCGACGCGGGGCCGGAGUAGGACUGUUGGAAAGUGUUCACUGGCUGCACAUUAGGCAGCGAGAGGUGCUGGCCUGAAGAGCAAUACCUGAUUGGAGUGUGAUUGUUUGGGCACAAUUGUGGACAUUUUGAGAUGUCCUAUAUGGAAAAUUAUUAAAUGAAAGCUAGUAAAUCUCAGCUCAUGUGUCUCCCAUUUACUCUAGAUGUUUCUCUUAUCCUUCCAUGUUUACUUCCAUAAAGUAAAGUAAAAUAUUAGGCUACGUAUUAAAACUUACCUUGCUGGGAAGGCCAAAUCAUUUCUAAGGUUGCAUUUAGAUAUUUUUAAUUAAAUAAAACCUCAAAUACACUAAAGUAAAAACCAAAUCCAGCGCUAUCUGUGAGGAACCAGAAUUUAAAUUCCUCGACUCAAGGUAUGGAUCUAUGACUUAUCCUUAAUGUGUUUCGGCAGUUUGUCUCCAUUUCCUCUGGGGCCCCAGGUGUUUAUAAACUUAAAUUGGAUUGACUUGAAAGCUCACUGUGUGAAAUCACCAUUCAGCUCAGAACCCACAUAACAUCACUGAUAGAAAGGGCUUCAAUUUAUUUUGGAAUGAAACACAAGAAACGGGGGCUGAUGGUAAAAUUUACUUUUAACAUGUUGUAGUGUAUACAGGUAGAAUGCUGGUCAAAAUUGUCUUUGACAUACAAUAGGGGGGAAAAAAGUGUAUUUUGGCAAAUUGAAUUUAUACUUCUCCUGGAAGUAAUUAACAACACAGUACUGUGCACAAUAUCCACCAUAUUGUUUCCAAAUCUAAUAUAUUUUGAUGUUAAAAAGCACUUUCGUUACUCAGUAAUAAUUUAGUUUAAUUGAGAUCAGGUUAAAUUAAUAAUAAGCGACCCUUGGGGAGACACUUCUGAGCCUCAGAUGACAAGACUACAGCAGACCAACAGACAUUAAUCAGAUGCCAUAUUUCAUUUGAUGUGACCAAAAAUAGAAGUACAGUUCAUUCAAAAUGUCAUACUAUCUUAAAGUCCUAGAUCACUUCUAAUUUUCCCAAGCAAGAGUUUUUUGUGCUCUGGAAAUUUGUGGAAAGAUGUAUUCUCAAUGUUUCAUUAGAUAAACAAUUGACACCCCUGUAUACAACACUACAUCAUAUGGAACAGACUGUACUUCUUUCUAUUAUAACCUUGUUUUUGUUAGCAUCAAAGUAAAUAUGGCUUUCUCUGACUAAUGCGUAUACAAGAGAGGAACAUAUAGGAUUUAAAACACUAAAGGACACAGGGAAGAAGUAUUUAAAAUGG
Long non-coding RNA from Myxocyprinus asiaticus (Chinese sucker), 5287 nucleotides. RefSeq lists it as uncharacterized. The transcript has 5 exons. NCBI's taxonomy places the organism in Eukaryota, Metazoa, Chordata, Actinopteri, Cypriniformes, Catostomidae. The record is from RefSeq and is a predicted model, not a curated record.